Molecule: RNA transcript, 1959 nt
Organism: Lotus japonicus
Lineage: Eukaryota; Viridiplantae; Streptophyta; Magnoliopsida; Fabales; Fabaceae
Exons: 19
Source: RefSeq, a predicted model, not a curated record
UUUUACAAUUCCUGAAUUGAAAGUUGCGUAGAGAGAGAAGACGUAGUGGAAUUUGGUCCGUGUAUGAAACGAAGGAGCCAGGAGCGAACACGAUGCCCCUAACCUCCUCAUCAUAACCUUCAAAAAAAUUCUCACUCUCUCUUAUUCCUCUUCUUCUUCUUCUUCAUCAUUUCUCAAUUCAACUUGGAACAUUCUCAAUGGCCACCACCACAACUGAAUCAUCUCCUCCCUCUUCCCUCGACCACGCCCUUCGCGACGUCGACGACUACGUUCUGGCAGAUGAACCGGAAGGUUUGGCACGGGAUACAUUACAUCAUGUUUAUGAGCUUGUUCAGAAAGGCAAUGAAGCAUUUCGAGAGAACAGAAUGGAAGCGGCAAUCAACUUCUACUCAAGAGCCAAUAACAUCAAAUCUGGUGAUCCAAUCAUCCUCAGAAAUCGAAGCACUGCUUAUGUUAGGAUUAGCAAAUAUUUAAUGCACAGACCACCAUCAUCUUCGGAGCAUAGGCCAUUGAGUGGGCUUGAUCCCACAACACUUGCUGAACUGGGUUUGAAGGAUGCUGAGAAGCUGGUUGAACUCCAAAGUAAUUCAGUAAAGUCAUACAUUUUAAAGGCCAAUGCUCUUCUUCUGUUGGAGAAAUAUGAAAAUGCCCGGGAUGUUAUUCUUUCAGGACUUCAAGUUGAUCCUUUUAGUAAUUCUCUUCGGGAUUCUCUUCAAAAUUUGGAAAGAGUGUCAUCUAGUUCAAAAGGGAUGAGCACUCAUGGACCGACAGAGCGUAAUGAUGACUUUGAUUGCACUCUGUGCCUGAAGUUACUGUAUGAACCUGUGACAACCCCUUGUGGACAUUCUUUUUGCCGUUCAUGUCUAUUUCAGUCAAUGGAUUGUGGGAACAGAUGCCCAUUGUGCAGGACUGUUUUGUUUAUUAGUCCUAGAACGUGUUGCACCAGUGUGACAUUGAAGAACAUCAUACAAAAGAACUUUCCUGAGGAAUAUGCUGAAAGGAAGCAAGAGAAUGACAGUUUAAUCAACGGUGGUGUAGAUUUUCUCCCUCUUUUUGUCAUGGAUGUUGUCAUACCAUGUCAAAAGUUUCCACUCAAUAUAUUUGAACCUCGGUACAGACUUAUGGUAAGAAGAAUAAUGGAAGGCAAUCAUCGCAUGGGAAUGGUUAUAAUUGAUUCUUCAACUGGUUCCUUAGCUGAGUUUGCCUGUGAAGUGGAGAUCACAGAGUGUGAGCCCCUUCCUGAUGGUCGGUUUUAUAUAGAGAUUGAAAGUCGUAGGAGAUUUCGCAUCAUCCAAUCUUGGGAUCAAGAUGGGUAUCGUGUUGCAGAGGUUGAAUGGAUACAGGAUAUUAUGCCACCAGAAGGGACAAGAGAAAGACAGAUAUUGCAGGAAUUGACAUCUAAUGCGGCAGAAAGUGCCCGAUCAUGGAUAGCAAGAGCUAAAGAAGCAGCAAGACAAGAUCAAAGAAAACUUGAGAGGCUCCUGAAUGUUGAAGUAAUGAUGCCCUCACCACGAGAUCCCGAGCGCUUUAGUUUUUGGCUGGCCACCCUCUCCAAUCGGAGGCCUUCAGAAAGAUUGGACCUCCUUCGUAUUAGAGAUACCACAGAGAGGAUUAGACGAGGUUUGAUAUUUCUCCGACAAGAGGAACAAGGCUGCAGAAUUCAAUAAGACAAGCUGAGGAGGGCUUCCAUUAUUAAUGCAAUUGAUUAUUUGUUUAUUGUAAAUUCAUUUACAAGCCAAUCAAUAUUCUUUGGCCUCAGAAAUGACUGUUAAUGAGGUCAAUUUUGUUGUAACAUAGACCCAGUUCUGUUCAACACAUUGAUUCCUGUGUGAUGAGCCAUUGAUAGCUGUCAAGGGAGCUGAUCAACCAGCUGAUGGGGCACUGUUGUGUAUUGGGUUUAUGUCAUGCGUCAAUACAGUUUUCACUCUGUUCCUAUCUAACUAGUUUAUUUUUCAUCAA